This 638-nucleotide ribosomal RNA is filed under the name uncultured Bacillaceae bacterium. RNAcentral describes it as "bacterial SSU rRNA". It matches the Rfam family "Bacterial small subunit ribosomal RNA", at positions 69 to 692 of the family's 1533-position model. The record is from RNAcentral. Lineage: Bacteria; Bacillati; Bacillota; Bacilli; Caryophanales; Bacillaceae.
CGAAUGGGAGCUUGCUUUCGUUCGGUUAGCGGCGGACGGGUGAGUAACACGUGGGCAACCUGCCCGUAAGACCGGGAUAACUUCGGGAAACCGGAGCUAAUACCGGAUAACACCGAAGAUCGCAUGAUCUUUGGUUGAAAGGCGGCUUUGGCUGUCACUUACGGAUGGGCCCGCGGCGCAUUAGCUAGUUGGUGAGGUAACGGCUCACCAAGGCGACGAUGCGUAGCCGACCUGAGAGGGUGAUCGGCCACACUGGGACUGAGACACGGCCCAGACUCCUACGGGAGGCAGCAGUAGAGAAUCUUCCGCAAUGGACGAAAGUCUGACGGAGCAACGCCGCGUGAGCGAAGAAGGUCCUCGGAUUGUAAAGCUCUGUUGUUAGGGAAGAACAAGUACCGUUCGAAGAGGGCGGUACCGUGACGGUACCUAACGAGAAAGCCACGGCUAACUACGUGCCAGCAGCCGCGGUAAUACGUAGGUGGCAAGCGUUGUCCGGAAUUAUUGGGCGUAAAGCGCGCGCAGGCGGUUCCUUAAGUCUGAUGUGAAAGCCCACGGCUCAACCGUGGAGGGUCAUUGAAACUGGGGGAUUUGAGUGCAAAGAGGAGAGCGGAAUUCCACGUGUAGCGGUGAAAUGCGUA